GACGUCGACGCGCUUGAUGUUUGAAGGUACCUGUUGAAUAAGCAUCGGCUAACUCCGUGCCAGCAGCCGCGGUAAUACGGAGGAUGCGAGCGUUAUCCGGAUUCAUUGGGUUUAAAGGGUGCGCAGGCGGACUAAUAAGUCAGCGGUGAAAUACUACGGCUCAACUGUAGCUGUGCCGAUGAUACUGUUAGACUAGAGAUUAAAUGAGGUUGGCGGAAUGUGUCAUGUAGCGGUGAAAUGCAUAGAUAUGACACAGAACACCGAUGCGAAGGCAGCUGACCAAUUUAUAUCUGACGCUCAUGCACGAAAGCGUGGGGAUCAAACAGGAUUAGAUACCCUGGUAGUCCACGCUGUAAACGAUGAUCACUGGCUGUUGAGCAGUAAUGCUUAGUGGCUGAGCGAAAGUAUUAAGUGAUCCACCUGGGGAGUACGGUCGCAAGAUUGAAACUC
RNAcentral lists this ribosomal RNA (450 nucleotides) under bacterium. Its description in RNAcentral is "bacterial SSU rRNA". It matches the Rfam family "Bacterial small subunit ribosomal RNA", at positions 451 to 902 of the family's 1533-position model. The record is from RNAcentral.